Molecule: ribosomal RNA, 690 nt
Filed under: Triticum aestivum (bread wheat)
Lineage: Eukaryota; Viridiplantae; Streptophyta; Magnoliopsida; Poales; Poaceae
Description: partial small subunit ribosomal RNA
Source: RNAcentral
AUGGAAUCGUUCUCUCACGAUGAUUUUGUCCUCGUGGCGGUAACACUGUGGUCAAUAUGGCAUGCAAGACGCAAAGCCAUCCACGAGUCAAUUUUCCAAAGCCCCCACGCUACACACGGCUUCAUCACGAGCUUCAUUACGGAGUUGGGAACACUAAAGGGCAACAAGGAACAAACAAGGACGAGUGGGUCGGCCUCGGUGCAAAGAGCCACACAACCAAAGAAGCCGCCACUAGGCUAUUGCAAGAUACAUGUGGACGCCGGAGUGCGUGGGAGAACAGGAGGUUCUGCGGCAAUAUGCAGGGACGAAGGGGGAAGUUAUCUCGGUAGCUCGGCGCUGGUGAUUGAAGGAGUCACUGAUCCGGCUACUUUGGAUGCAAUGGCGUGUAGGGAGGCACUAGCCCUCGCCGCAGAUCUGGGGAUCCACCAGUUUAUAGUGGCAUCGGACUGCCAACAGGUGGUCUCUGACAUAUCAAGGAGAACCAGAGGACAAUAUGGAGCUAUCAUAAGCGAGAUCAAUCUGAAAGUUUCCCUUUUCCAAUGUUCUUUUACUUUCGAGAGUCGUGCUGUUAAUUAUGAAGCACAUAGAUUAGCUAAGUUUUGUUUAAGUCAGGGCCCGGGACGCCAUGUCUGGCUUGGCACCCCACAUGACCCCAGAUGUAUCCCACUUCUUGUGGAAUUCCAUGAAUAA